Molecule: ribosomal RNA, 253 nt
Filed under: uncultured bacterium
Lineage: Bacteria
Description: partial 16S ribosomal RNA
Rfam family: Bacterial small subunit ribosomal RNA
Source: RNAcentral
UACAGAGGGUGCUAGCGUUGUUCGGAAUCAUUGGGCGUAAAGGGCGUGUAGGCGGUUUGUUAAGUCAUGUGUGAAAUCCCUCGGCUCAACCGGGGAACGACGCAUGAAACUGGCAAGCUAGAGUACCAAAGAGGGGGGUGGAAUUCCCGGUGUAGCGGUGAAAUGCGUAGAUAUCAGGAAGAACACCCGUGGCGAAGGCGGCUCUCUGGGACGGUACUGACGCUGAGGCACGAAGGUCAGGGGAGCAAACAGG